AGUGAACGCUGGCGGUAGGCCUAACACAUGCCAGUCGAACGGCAGCACAGUAAGAGCUUGCUCUUACGGGUGGCGAGUGGCGGACGGGUGAGGAAUACAUCGGAAUCUACUUUUUCGUGGGGGAUAACGUAGGGAAACUUACGCUAAUACCGCAUACGACCUACGGGUGAAAGCAGGGGAUCUUCGGACCUUGCGCGAUUGAAUGAGCCGAUGUCGGAUUAGCUAGUUGGCGGGGUAAAGGCCCACCAAGGCGACGAUCGGUAGCUGGUCUGAGAGGAUGAUCGGCCACACUGGAACUGAGACACGGUCCAGACUCCUACGGGAGGCAGCAGUGGGGAAUAUUGGACAAUGGGCGCAAGCCUGAUCCAGCCAUACCGCGUGGGUGAAGAAGGCCUUCGGGUUGUAAAGCCCUUUUGUUGGGAAAGAAAAGCAGCAGGUUAAUACCCCGCUGUUCUGACGGUACCCAAAGAAUAAGCACCGGCUAACUUCGUG
This 492-nucleotide ribosomal RNA is filed under the name uncultured bacterium. RNAcentral's name for it is "partial 16S ribosomal RNA". It matches the Rfam family "Bacterial small subunit ribosomal RNA", at positions 29 to 507 of the family's 1533-position model. The record is from RNAcentral.